AUACGUAGGGUGCAAGCGUUGUCCGGAAUUAUUGGGCGUAAAGAGCUCGUAGGCGGUGUGUCACGUCUGCUGUGAAAAUCCAAGGCUCAACCUUGGACUUGCAGUGGGUACGGGCACACUCGAGUGCGGUAGGGGAGAUUGGAAUUCCUGGUGUAGCGGUGGAAUGCGCAGAUAUCAGGAGGAACACCGAUGGCGAAGGCAGAUCUCUGGGCCGUAACUGACGCUGAGGAGCGAAAGCGUGGGGAGCGAACAGGAUUAGAUACCCUGGUAGUCCACGCCGUAAACGGUGGGAACUAGAUGUGGGGUCCGUUCCACGGAUUCCGUGUCGCAGCUAACGCAUUAAGUUCCCCGCCUGGGGAGUACGGCCGCAAGGCUAAAACUCAAAGGAAUUGACGGGGGCCCGCACAAGCGGCGGAGCAUGCGGAUUAAUUCGAUGCAACGCGAAGAACCUUACCAAGGCUUGACAUAUAGAGGAAAAGUGCAGAGAUGCACUCCCCGCAAGGUCUCUAUACAGGUGGUGCAUGGUUGUCGUCAGCUCGUGUCGUGAGAUGUUGGGUUAAGUCCCGCAACGAGCGCAACCCUCGUCCUAUGUUGCCAGCACGUAAUGGUGGGAACUCAUGGGAUACUGCCGGGGUCAACUCGGAGGAAGGUGGGGAUGACGUCAAAUCAUCAUGCCCCUUAUGUCUUGGGCUUCACGCAUGCUACAAUGGCCGGUACAGAGGGCAGCAAUACCGCAAGGUGGAGCGAAUCCCAGAAAGCCGGUCUCAGUUCGGAUUGAGGUCUGCAACUCGACCUCAUGAAGUCGGAGUCGCUAGUAAUCGCGAAUCAGCAACGU
Molecule: ribosomal RNA, 835 nt
Filed under: marine metagenome
Description: bacterial SSU rRNA
Rfam family: Bacterial small subunit ribosomal RNA
Source: RNAcentral